Molecule: ribosomal RNA, 588 nt
Filed under: uncultured bacterium
Lineage: Bacteria
Description: bacterial SSU rRNA
Rfam family: Bacterial small subunit ribosomal RNA
Source: RNAcentral
CCUACGGGAGGCAGCAGUGGGGAAUCUUGCGCAAUGGGGGAAACCUUGACGCAGCAACGCCGCGUGGGUGAUGAAGGCCUUCGGGUCGUAAAGCCCUGUCAGGUGGGAAGAAACAUGUCGGUGCUAAUAUCACCGAUGUUUGACGGUACCGCCGGAGGAAGCACCGGCUAACUCCGUGCCAGCAGCCGCGGUAAUACGGAGGGUGCAAGCGUUGUUCGGAAUUACUGGGCGUAAAGCGCGUGUAGGCGGUCGGGCAAGUCAGAUGUGAAAGCCUUCCGCUCAACGGAAGAAGUGCAUUUGAAACUACCCGGCUGGAGUACGGGAGAGGAGAGUGGAAUUCCCGGUGUAGAGGUGAAAUUCGUAGAUAUCGGGAGGAACACCAGUGGCGAAGGCGGCUCUCUGGUCCGAUACUGACGCUGAGACGCGAAAGCGUGGGGAGCAAACAGGAUUAGAUACCCUGGUAGUCCACGCCGUAAACGAUGGGCACUAGGUGUAGGAGGUAUUGACCCCUUCUGUGCCGAAGUUAACGCAUUAAGUGCCCCGCCUGGGGAGUACGGCCGCAAGGUUAAAACUCAAAGGAAUUGACGG